UACGGGGGGGGCAAGCGUUGUUCGGAAUUACUGGGCGUAAAGGGCUUGUAGGUGGCCAACUAAGUCAGACGUGAAAUCCCUCGGCUUAACCGGGGAACUGCGUCUGAUACUGGAUGGCUUGAGUUUGGGAGAGGGAUGCGGAAUUCCAGGUGUAGCGGUGAAAUGCGUAGAUAUUGGGAGGAACACCGGUGGCGAAGGCGGCCCCCUGGACCGGUACUGACGCUGAGGCGCGAAAGCGUGGGUAGCAAACGGG
This 253-nucleotide ribosomal RNA is filed under the name uncultured prokaryote. RNAcentral describes it as "partial 16S ribosomal RNA". It matches the Rfam family "Bacterial small subunit ribosomal RNA", at positions 524 to 776 of the family's 1533-position model. The record is from RNAcentral.